RNA transcript from Aethina tumida (small hive beetle), 636 nucleotides. RefSeq lists it as uncharacterized. The transcript is spliced from 4 exons. NCBI's taxonomy places the organism in Eukaryota, Metazoa, Arthropoda, Insecta, Coleoptera, Nitidulidae. The record is from RefSeq and is a predicted model, not a curated record.
ACUCAUCUAAAAGCACUCAGAGAAUUGGGAGUAUCUAUCAAAUUCAUCACUACUAAAAAUAUACAUACAUUUGUUAUACCCACUUAUAUUCGAUAUCGAUGAAUUGUAGCAGGUCAACUUUGUAAACACAUAACUUUUUUAGUUUAUUUGGACUCUCUCAAUUUGCUGAAAAUGGAUUACGUUACCAAAAUGGAGGCACUGAAUAAGAAAUCCUUGGAACUACGGGAGCGGGCACUUAUUCUUAAAGAUACAUAUCGUCGUUUAUCAAUAGAAUUGGAAAUACUUAAACUGCACGUUGUUGCUUCAAAGAGAAGGGCAAGUGAUGAUUUAGAUAUUGCUGAGUGGAGUGACUGGAGUGAUGACCAAAAUGCUACAUCAUCUGCUGUACCUGACUCAAAUAAAUGUGCAGAUCUAGAACUGGUGUCACCAAAUCAGGACAACGAAAACGACGAAAACAAUUCCAAUGUCGAUCCUCCAGCAGAUGAAGAAAAGUAGACCCCCUGACGAACUGUCCACUAACGAGAACAUCUAAACUUCACGUAAUGAAACUGAUGACAAUUUUUCUAUGAAAUUUUAAAAAUUUAUUGUAUUAAAGCUAUAAGAAAUGAAAGUGUUCAAAUAAAUGAUUUAAUAAUA